CCUGGUUGAUCCUGCCAGUAGUCAUAUGCUUGUCUCAAAGAUUAAGCCAUGCAUGUCUCAGUACAUGCCGAAUUAAGGUGAAACCGCGAAUGGCUCAUUAAAUCAGUUAUGGUUCAUUAGAUCGUGGACACAUUUACUUGGAUAACUGUGGUAAUUCUAGAGCUAAUACAUGCAAACAGAAUUCCUCUCAGAGAUGGGAGGAAUGCUUUUAUUAGAUCAAAACCAAUCGGUGGCGGACGGCUCGUCCGUUCGUCCAUCGUUUGUUUUGGUGACUCUGAAUAACUUUGUGCUGAUCGCAUGGUCAUCUAGCACCGGCGACGCAUCUUCAAAUGUCUGCCUUAUCAACUGUCGAUGGUAGGUUCUGCGCCUACCAUGGUUGUAACGGGUAACGGGGAAUCAGGGUUCGAUUCCGGAGAGGGGCCUGAGAACAGCUAACACAUCCAAGGAAGGCAGCAGGCGCGCAAAUUACCCCACUCCCGGCACGGGGAGGUAGUGACGAAAUAACGAUACGGGACUCAUCCGAGGCCCGUAAUCGGAAUGAGUACACUUUAAAUCCUUUAACGAGGACCAAUUGGAGGGCAAGUCUGGUGCCAGCAGCCGCGGUAAUUCCAGCUCCAAUAGCGUAUAUUAAGUGUUGCGGUUAAAAAGCUCGUAGUUGAAUCUGUGUGUCACAGUGUCGGUUCACCGCUCGCGGUGUUUAACUGGCAUUAUGUGGUACGUCCUAUCGGUGGGCUUAGUCCUUGCGGGCGGUCCAACUAAUAUCCCAUCGCGGUGCUCUUACUGAGUGUCGAGUGGCCGAUACGUUUACUUUGAAAAAUUGAGUCUUAAAGCAGGCUACCUUUGCCUGAAUACUGUGUGCAUGGAUAAUGGAUAGGACCUCGGUUUAUUUGUUGGUUUUCGGAACCCCGAGGUAAUGAUUAAUAGGGACAGAUGGGGCAUCGAUUGCGACGUUAGAGGUGAAUUCUGGAUCGUCGCAAGACGGACAGAAGCGAAAGCAUUUGCCAAAAAUGUUUUCAUUAAUCAAGACGAAAGUUAGAGGUUCGAAGGCGAUCAGAUACCGCCCUAGUUCUAACCAUAAACGAUGCAGCCAGCGAUCCGCCGAAGUUCCUCCGAUGACUCGGCGGGCAGCUUCCGGGAAACAAAGUUUUGGGUUCCGGGGGAGUAUGGUUGCAAAGCUGAAACUUAAGGAAUUGACGGAAGGGCACCACAGGAGUGGAGCCUGCGGCUUAAUUUGACUCAACACGGGAAACCUCACCAGGCCGGACACCGGAAGGAUUGACAGAUUGAUAGCUCUUUCUUGAUUCGGUGGGUGGUGGUGCAUGGCCGUUCUUAGUUGGUGGGAGCGAUUUGUCUGGUUAAUUCCGAUAACGAACGAGACUCUAGCCUGCUAAAUAGACGUAACUUAUGGUAUCUCGAAGGCCCUCGGCUUCGGUCGGUGGGUUUUUACUACCACGUACAAACAAAUCUUCUUAGAGAACAGGCGGCUUCUAGCCGCACGAGAUUGAGCAAUAACAGGUCUGUGAUGCCUUAGAUGUUCUGGGCCGCACGCGCGCUACACUGAAGGAAUCAGCGUGUUUUCCCUGGCCGAAAGGCCCGGGUAACCCGCUGAACCUCCUUCGUGCUAGGGAUUGGGGCUUGCAAUUAUUCCCCAUGAACGAGGAAUUCCCAGUAAGCGCGAGUCAUAAGCUCGCGUUGAUUACGUCCCUGCCCUUUGUACACACCGCCGUCGCUACUACCGAUUGAAUGAUUUAGUGAGGUCUUCGGACUGGUGCGCGGCCAAUGUCUCGGCAUUGCCGAUGUUACCGGGAAGAUGACCAAACUUGAUCAUUUAGAGGAAGUAAAAGUCGUAACAAGGUUUCCGUAGGUGAACCUGCGGAAG
RNAcentral lists this ribosomal RNA (1879 nucleotides) under Apis mellifera (honey bee). RNAcentral's name for it is "SSU rRNA". It matches the Rfam family "Eukaryotic small subunit ribosomal RNA". The record is from RNAcentral. Lineage: Eukaryota; Metazoa; Arthropoda; Insecta; Hymenoptera; Apidae.